Molecule: ribosomal RNA, 253 nt
Filed under: uncultured bacterium
Lineage: Bacteria
Description: partial 16S ribosomal RNA
Rfam family: Bacterial small subunit ribosomal RNA
Source: RNAcentral
UACGAAGGGGGCUAGCGUUGCUCGGAAUCACUGGGCGUAAAGGGUGCGUAGGCGGGUCUUUAAGUCAGGGGUGAAAUCCUGGAGCUCAACUUCGGAAUUGCCUUUGAUACUGUCUGUCUUGAGUCCGGGAGAGGUGAGUGGAAUUCCUAGUGUAGAGGUGAAAUUCGUAGAUAUCAGGAAGAACACCCGUGGCUAAGGCGGCUCUCUAGUACGGUACUGACGCUGAGACGCGAAAGCGUGGGGAGCGAACAGG